AGCGAACGCUGGCGGCAGGCUUAACACAUGCAAGUCGAGCGGGCACUUCGGUGUCAGCGGCAGACGGGUGAGUAACACAUGGGAACGUACCCUUUGGUUCGGAAUAACGCUGGGAAACUAGCGCUAAUACCGGAUACGCCCUUUUGGGGAAAGGCUUGCUGCCGAAGGAUCGGCCCGCGUCUGAUUAGCUAGUUGGUGGGGUAAUGGCCUACCAAGGCGACGAUCAGUAGCUGGUCUGAGAGGAUGAUCAGCCACACUGGGACUGAGACACGGCCCAGACUCCUACGGGAGGCAGCAGUGGGGAAUAUUGGACAAUGGGCGCAAGCCUGAUCCAGCCAUGCCGCGUGAGUGAUGAAGGCCUUAGGGUUGUAAAGCUCUUUUGUCCGGGACGAUAAUGACGGUACCGGAAGAAUAAGCCCCGGCUAACUUCGUG
RNAcentral lists this ribosomal RNA (433 nucleotides) under uncultured bacterium. Its description in RNAcentral is "partial 16S ribosomal RNA". It matches the Rfam family "Bacterial small subunit ribosomal RNA", at positions 29 to 507 of the family's 1533-position model. The record is from RNAcentral.